UCUGAUUGGCUGUUUGCUAACUGCUGUCGUCAUUGGCUGGUACUGGUAGUUGUGUCGAUGUCAGCCGUUAGUAGCUAGCUAACUGUCGGUGUACUAGCUAACUGCGGUUACCAUGAAUGAUGUGAAUUAUCGUCUACAGAACAAGUUUCAAAGUCUGCCUUUUGAAGAAAAACGUGAGGUUAAACACCUCGGUGCCCACCAGCCGCGGGGUAUUGUUACGAACCAAACCUCUGGUGAAAAUGAUCACAUUUAACGGAGUGGUCUCCAGGACAACAUGCUAACUGCUAGCUGAGUCUGCAGAUAGUUCACAUGUCUGUAAUAGCAGAAGGACAAAGAUGACUGAAUGGGGUAGACGUUUUUUAGACAGCAGAGAUUACAGCUGAAGAAAAUGGAAAAAGUGACUCUAAAAAGAGAGCGUUGACCAGUCUCAUCCACGCUGACAGACUGUGAAGAGCAACUUGUUUCCAUCAGCUGGGAACCUCCACCGGUGUCUUUGUGCGUGCGUCUAUCAGCACAGGAGGAGGGUUUCAGGCAUCAUCACUCAGGCAUCCUCUUACUGGGCUCACUGGACUAAAGCCUGGGAACCAGACCAACGAUGACCAUUCUCAUCAGGCAAAUGGACCCAGGUACUCUGAAACUGAAAUCAGAGCCCUGCUUCACAGCGUGGUGUCCAGUAUUUAUAGACAAAAGCUCAGAGAGAAAAAGUACUGAAACGUCUCCGCUGUGCACAUUUUUACAUUUAUUUUUUUUACUGAUGAGAGAGAAAAACCCGUAAUGAGGUGAACCUGGUGGCACUUUGUUUUCUUCAAGUUAUGACUAAUAACUCUACGGUCCACCUGUCUCUGUCUUCCAGCACUUUCACACAUAAACUUUAAAAUAAACACAUUGCAUUUUUUAACAGAAUUAUGGUUUGAACUUUUAAUCUUUAACUACUUUUGUUUUCACACUUUUUCAUCUCAUAAGGGUAAAUUAAGUUUCUGGUCCCUGCAGGUAGUUUUUAUCAGAUCUAAUCUAGAGUCUAAUCAGUGAUAGGUUUAUUAACUCAUGUCUAUAUUUGUCUGAAUCUUCAAAAAUAUGGACAAAGCAGAAUUACACUGCCAAGCAAGAAGUUACCUGUGCAAAGUUUCUGUUUUAAUCGUGUGCAAUAAGUACUUUUUAGCCAUGCUAGUGAUGUGGCUGUGGGGAUGGCAGUGUUGGUCG
Long non-coding RNA from Sebastes umbrosus (honeycomb rockfish), 1200 nucleotides. RefSeq lists it as uncharacterized. Lineage: Eukaryota; Metazoa; Chordata; Actinopteri; Perciformes; Sebastidae. The transcript is spliced from 3 exons. The record is from RefSeq and is a predicted model, not a curated record.